AACAAUCUAAACUCUAUAAGGAAGGCUGGACGAUGCUUUAGAAUGUGAGUUCUCGUUGUCACACGGCUAAAACCCUCUAGUUACGUAAAAAAGAAAAUUUAACUUCUAUUUUACGGAUAUUAAGAGAAUUUUAGAAGCAACAAUCUACAAUAAAAGGCAAGGGUGAAGCUACGAGUAGCCAAUGGGAUACAAUGGAAUUCCUUUUGUUUUCUUUUCAAAAAAUUAUAGUUUAAAUAGAAUAAAAUUAAUUUAUUUUAAUUGUAUAUAAUUGUUUUUGGUAAGUUAAGAUCUUAUUAACCAAAGUAGAGUUAUUACAGAGUUCCCAAGAAAUAAAAAAUAAAAAAUAAAAAACUGGCGCAUGGAUAAAGUCCCAUGAUCCAGAUCAACAAACAUCUAAAUCUGCUUAAUCAAACCAAACAAACAAAAACUAAACAGAGUAGUAGUCUAAUUGCCUGAGUCUGCUAGCAAGUUUGGGAUGCAUACUCCCCCUCACCACCACAUCUUGUAUGAUUUGCCUUAUGAGAACCUCAAGAGCCCUUUGCUUCCUUUGCAAUAUCCUGUUAUUCCUUUUUUAUCAAACAAAAUACACAUUACCAGCUACAACCAUUCUAAACACCUGAGAUUGUGCAGAUUUCCCAUUCACUUGUGCAAUCAUCCAUGCCAUUUCACUUGUCCAGUCCAUAGCACUCCUGCUAUAUCCAAGUCAGGCUAACAGUUUCCUCCACACAAUAGUAGAAUAAGCACACUUAAAGAAUAAAUGAUCCACUGAUUGAUCUUCAUUACCACACGGGGAGGACAUGUUACUUGAUCAGUGAUGUAUCAUUUCUUCAACAUGUCUCUUGUAUACAGUCUCUUGUUCAGUGGCAAAUAAACGACAAAGAUCCAGACUUAGGUGAGCCAUGAUUGUUGCAAGUUAACCUUCUCCAAGUGACCUUAUGGUAGUUCCCUCUUAGCUGCAGAAACAGUCUCUCUAUCUCUAAGAGUAGGGAUAAGGUGUGUUUACACUUUAUCUUCUCAAGACCUCAUUCGUACGAUUACAAGGUCAUACAUCUGUACAUGGGGUGGUGGAGCUUUACAUCUGGACAGCUGUCACAGUCAUCCACAUGCCGCGUAAGCAGAAGCACUUGGUCAACCAUCAUCCAGUUCUCGGCCAGCUUACUAAUUCAUUCUAUUUCAAAGCGCGUGAGGAAACCCCGCACUUUCAAACUUUGACCACAAAAACAAAAAGAAUUAUCCACAACACAAAUAUGCUGUCAAAAUCCCACUUGCACAUUAUAACAUCACCAGGUCCACAAUCCUUUUUU
Long non-coding RNA from Lycium barbarum (goji berry), 1304 nucleotides. RefSeq lists it as uncharacterized. The record is from RefSeq and is a predicted model, not a curated record. NCBI's taxonomy places the organism in Eukaryota, Viridiplantae, Streptophyta, Magnoliopsida, Solanales, Solanaceae. The transcript is spliced from 3 exons.